Molecule: ribosomal RNA, 2922 nt
Filed under: Staphylococcus aureus
Lineage: Bacteria; Bacillati; Bacillota; Bacilli; Caryophanales; Staphylococcaceae
Description: 23S ribosomal RNA
Rfam family: Bacterial large subunit ribosomal RNA
Source: RNAcentral
GAUUAAGUUAUUAAGGGCGCACGGUGGAUGCCUUGGCACUAGAAGCCGAUGAAGGACGUUACUAACGACGAUAUGCUUUGGGGAGCUGUAAGUAAGCUUUGAUCCAGAGAUUUCCGAAUGGGGAAACCCAGCAUGAGUUAUGUCAUGUUAUCGAUAUGUGAAUACAUAGCAUAUCAGAAGGCACACCCGGAGAACUGAAACAUCUUAGUACCCGGAGGAAGAGAAAGAAAAUUCGAUUCCCUUAGUAGCGGCGAGCGAAACGGGAAGAGCCCAAACCAACAAGCUUGCUUGUUGGGGUUGUAGGACACUCUAUACGGAGUUACAAAGGACGACAUUAGACGAAUCAUCUGGAAAGAUGAAUCAAAGAAGGUAAUAAUCCUGUAGUCGAAAAUGUUGUCUCUCUUGAGUGGAUCCUGAGUACGACGGAGCACGUGAAAUUCCGUCGGAAUCUGGGAGGACCAUCUCCUAAGGCUAAAUACUCUCUAGUGACCGAUAGUGAACCAGUACCGUGAGGGAAAGGUGAAAAGCACCCCGGAAGGGGAGUGAAAUAGAACCUGAAACCGUGUGCUUACAAGUAGUCAGAGCCCGUUAAUGGGUGAUGGCGUGCCUUUUGUAGAAUGAACCGGCGAGUUACGAUUUGAUGCAAGGUUAAGCAGUAAAUGUGGAGCCGUAGCGAAAGCGAGUCUGAAUAGGGCGUUUAGUAUUUGGUCGUAGACCCGAAACCAGGUGAUCUACCCUUGGUCAGGUUGAAGUUCAGGUAACACUGAAUGGAGGACCGAACCGACUUACGUUGAAAAGUGAGCGGAUGAACUGAGGGUAGCGGAGAAAUUCCAAUCGAACCUGGAGAUAGCUGGUUCUCUCCGAAAUAGCUUUAGGGCUAGCCUCAAGUGAUGAUUAUUGGAGGUAGAGCACUGUUUGGACGAGGGGCCCCUCUCGGGUUACCGAAUUCAGACAAACUCCGAAUGCCAAUUAAUUUAACUUGGGAGUCAGAACAUGGGUGAUAAGGUCCGUGUUCGAAAGGGAAACAGCCCAGACCACCAGCUAAGGUCCCAAAAUAUAUGUUAAGUGGAAAAGGAUGUGGCGUUGCCCAGACAACUAGGAUGUUGGCUUAGAAGCAGCCAUCAUUUAAAGAGUGCGUAAUAGCUCACUAGUCGAGUGACACUGCGCCGAAAAUGUACCGGGGCUAAACAUAUUACCGAAGCUGUGGAUUGUCCUUUGGACAAUGGUAGGAGAGCGUUCUAAGGGCGUUGAAGCAUGAUCGUAAGGACAUGUGGAGCGCUUAGAAGUGAGAAUGCCGGUGUGAGUAGCGAAAGACGGGUGAGAAUCCCGUCCACCGAUUGACUAAGGUUUCCAGAGGAAGGCUCGUCCGCUCUGGGUUAGUCGGGUCCUAAGCUGAGGCCGACAGGCGUAGGCGAUGGAUAACAGGUUGAUAUUCCUGUACCACCUAUAAUCGUUUUAAUCGAUGGGGGGACGCAGUAGGAUAGGCGAAGCGUGCGAUUGGAUUGCACGUCUAAGCAGUAAGGCUGAGUAUUAGGCAAAUCCGGUACUCGUUAAGGCUGAGCUGUGAUGGGGAGAAGACAUUGAGUCUUCGAGUCGUUGAUUUCACACUGCCGAGAAAAGCCUCUAGAUAGAAAAUAGGUGCCCGUACCGCAAACCGACACAGGUAGUCAAGAUGAGAAUUCUAAGGUGAGCGAGCGAACUCUCGUUAAGGAACUCGGCAAAAUGACCCCGUAACUUCGGGAGAAGGGGUGCUCUUUAGGGUUAACGCCCAGAAGAGCCGCAGUGAAUAGGCCCAAGCGACUGUUUAUCAAAAACACAGGUCUCUGCUAAACCGUAAGGUGAUGUAUAGGGGCUGACGCCUGCCCGGUGCUGGAAGGUUAAGAGGAGUGGUUAGCUUCUGCGAAGCUACGAAUCGAAGCCCCAGUAAACGGCGGCCGUAACUAUAACGGUCCUAAGGUAGCGAAAUUCCUUGUCGGGUAAGUUCCGACCCGCACGAAAGGCGUAACGAUUUGGGCACUGUCUCAACGAGAGACUCGGUGAAAUCAUAGUACCUGUGAAGAUGCAGGUUACCCGCGACAGGACGGAAAGACCCCGUGGAGCUUUACUGUAGCCUGAUAUUGAAAUUCGGCACAGCUUGUACAGGAUAGGUAGGAGCCUUUGAAACGUGAGCGCUAGCUUACGUGGAGGCGCUGGUGGGAUACUACCCUAGCUGUGUUGGCUUUCUAACCCGCACCACUUAUCGUGGUGGGAGACAGUGUCAGGCGGGCAGUUUGACUGGGGCGGUCGCCUCCUAAAAGGUAACGGAGGCGCUCAAAGGUUCCCUCAGAAUGGUUGGAAAUCAUUCAUAGAGUGUAAAGGCAUAAGGGAGCUUGACUGCGAGACCUACAAGUCGAGCAGGGUCGAAAGACGGACUUAGUGAUCCGGUGGUUCCGCAUGGAAGGGCCAUCGCUCAACGGAUAAAAGCUACCCGGGGAUAACAGGCUUAUCUCCCCCAAGAGUUCACAUCGACGGGGAGGUUUGGCACCUCGAUGUCGGCUCAUCGCAUCCUGGGGCUGUAGUCGGUCCCAAGGGUUGGGCUGUUCGCCCAUUAAAGCGGUACGCGAGCUGGGUUCAGAACGUCGUGAGACAGUUCGGUCCCUAUCCGUCGUGGGCGUAGGAAAUUUGAGAGGAGCUGUCCUUAGUACGAGAGGACCGGGAUGGACAUACCUCUGGUGUACCAGUUGUCGUGCCAACGGCAUAGCUGGGUAGCUAUGUGUGGACGGGAUAAGUGCUGAAAGCAUCUAAGCAUGAAGCCCCCCUCAAGAUGAGAUUUCCCAACUUCGGUUAUAAGAUCCCUCAAAGAUGAUGAGGUUAAUAGGUUCGAGGUGGAAGCAUGGUGACAUGUGGAGCUGACGAAUACUAAUCGAUCGAAGACUUAAUCAA